UCCGUAGGGGGCAAGCGUUGUCCGGAUUUAUUGGGCGUAAAGGGCAUGUAGGCGGCCCGAUAGGUCUGUUGUGAAAACUCGAGGCUCACCCUCGAGACGCCGACGGAAACCAUCUGGCUAGAGUCCGGAAGAGGAGAGUGGAAUUCCUGGUGUAGCGGUGAAAUGCGCAGAUAUCAGGAAGAACACCCGUGGCGAAGGCGGCUCUCUGGGGCGGUCCUGACGCUCAGGCGCGAAAGCUAGGGGAGCAAACAGG
This 253-nucleotide ribosomal RNA is filed under the name uncultured bacterium. Its description in RNAcentral is "partial 16S ribosomal RNA". It matches the Rfam family "Bacterial small subunit ribosomal RNA", at positions 524 to 776 of the family's 1533-position model. The record is from RNAcentral.